Molecule: ribosomal RNA, 253 nt
Filed under: uncultured bacterium
Lineage: Bacteria
Description: partial 16S ribosomal RNA
Rfam family: Bacterial small subunit ribosomal RNA
Source: RNAcentral
UACGUAGGGUGCGAGCGUUAAUCGGAAUUACUGGGCGUAAAGUGUGCGCAGGCCGCCGAGCAAGUCGAGUGUGAAAGCCCCGAGCUUAACUUGGGAACUGCGCUCGAAACUACUUGGCUAGAGUGUGGCAGAGGGAGGUGGAAUUCCACGUGUAGCGGUGAAAUGCGUAGAGAUGUGGAGGAACACCGAUGGCGAAGGCAGCCUCCUGGGCCAACACUGACGCUCAUGCACGAAAGCGUGGGGAGCAAACAGG